This 2268-nucleotide unclassified non-coding RNA is filed under the name Hevea brasiliensis (rubber tree). The record is from RNAcentral. Lineage: Eukaryota; Viridiplantae; Streptophyta; Magnoliopsida; Malpighiales; Euphorbiaceae.
AAUGGCCUUAUAAGUGGGAGAACACCAAAUCAGGAGCAGUAUAGCUGAACAGGCCAUUUUGGUUCAAAGAGGGCAGCCCACCCCAAUUUGAGAUCCAGUUUAAUUAAAAAAAACGAAAAAAUCCAGAGACACAACGAUCUUGAAAGUUGAAACUGGCCGGAAAACCCACGCUAACCUUCUUUCACUUUCACUUUCUAUUUCGGCAAACACGUCCCCUUGAAAUGUUUAUUCAAUAUCCCUCGCUUCUCCUGGAGCUUGCGAAGUCCCAUCAAACGCUAUCAAUAACCAAGCAGUUACAUGCUUCGAUCACCAGAGUCCACCUCUCACAUGACUCGUUUUAUGCUACUAAAAUUCUAAGAUUCUACGGCUUGAACAAUGACCUUCGCUCUGCUUGCAACCUGUUCGAUAAAACUCCUCAACGCAGCGUUUUCCUCUGGAAUUCCAUGAUUCGAGCUUUUGCCCGAGCCCACAAAUUUGAUGAAGCGCUAUCGCUGUAUACAAAGAUGCUAGGAACCCAAAUCAGACCCGAUAACUUUACUUAUGCGUGUCUUAUACGAGCGUGCCAUGAAAACUUUGAUCUGGAUGGUUUGAGACUUGUACAUGGAGGAGUAAUUGUUUCUGGGUUGGCAUUGGAUUCUGUUUCCUGUAGUGCACUGGUGACAGCUUAUUCAAAGAUGGGCCUUGUUAGCGAAGCGAGCAAGGUGUUUUCCGGGGUAUCUGAGCCGGAUUUGGUUCUAUGGAAUUCUAUGAUUUCUGGCUAUAGUUUUUGUGAAUUUUGGGCUGAAGGGUUGCGGUUGUUUAAUAGGAUGCGAGAGAAUGGGAAGCAGCAGCCAGAUGGUUACACUUUGGUUGGGAUCAUCUCAGGUUUAAUGGAUUUUAGUCAGCUGGGAAUUGGCCUAGGGAUUCAUGGGCUGUGCUUGAAAAGUGGUUUUGAUUGCAGUGCUUAUGUAGGCAGUGCACUUGUAAGCAUGUAUUCAAGAUUCAAAUGCAUGAAUUUAGCAUAUGGUGUUUUUAUCAGCUUAUGUCAGCCUGAUUUAGUUGCAUGGUCUGCUCUGAUAACUGGAUAUUCUCGGUAUGGAGAUCAUAAGAAGGCACUGUUUUUCUAUAGGAAUCUAUCCGUGGAAGGCAAGAAGUCAGAUUCCAUUUUGAUUGCCAGUAUAUUGGUGGCUGCUGCCCAUUUGGCAGAUGUAAGGUGUGGUUCUGAGAUACAUGGUUAUGUUCUUCGACAUGGAUUUGAAUCUAAUGUCAAGGUUUCUUCGGCUCUCAUAGAUAUGUAUUUGAAGUGUGGUUUUGUAGGACUUGGGAUUCUUGUCUUUGACAAUAUGUCCAACAGAAAUGUUGUGUCCUAUAAUUCAGUAAUUUCAGGUCUUGGUUUGCAUGGACUUGCUGUUCAGGCUUUCAAACUAUUUGAGGAGAUGAUAGAGACAGGGAUGAAACCUGACGAAUCUACAUUCUCUUCCCUUCUUUGUGCAUGCUGUCAUAGUGGCCUUGUCAAAGCUGGGCGGGAAGUUUUCAGGAGAAUGAUGGAUGAAUUUUGCAUCCAACCUAAAACUGAGCAUUACGUUCACAUUGUAAAACUCCUAGGGACGGUUGGGGAAUUGAAAGAGGCAUACAAUUUUAUCUUGUCCUUGAAACAGCCGGUGGAUUCUGGAAUUUGGGGAGCACUUUUAUCAUGUUGUCAUAGUCAUAGGAGUUAUGAGUUGGCAGAAAUAGUGUCCCAGCAUCUCUUUGAUAACGAGCCCAGAAAAGGUGCCUACAGAGUGAUGCUUUCUAAUAUUUAUGCAGGUGAUGGGAGGUGGGAUGAUGUAAAGAAGAUGAGAGAUGAUAUGGACAAUGUUGGAGUAAGGAAAAUUCCUGGUGUCAGUUGGAUUGGAGGUAGUUGCAGUUAAUCAAUGAAAUGAUUGAUUGUAUCUCAGAUUGUCGUCAAAUCAGAUCAUGCACAGGAAGCUUUAUCCAGAGAUAUGUUGAGGAAACUAGAGAUGGUCAUUGGUGAACUGGGAGGAGACUUGGCACUGUGAUGACCAAUGGUUUUGCAGCAACAGCGGAAGUUAAAACUCUUAUCAUCUCUCAUCCUUGAGCCUGCCACUUAAUGUAUGAACACCAGUUUUUCCUUAGGUAUGGUAUGUGACUUGCCUUGCUGAAACACUAAACAACAGUGUUACAGCAAUAUGAAUGGAAUACAAUUUCUGAUUUCCAUUUGAUCAAAAAAUGCAAUGUUACAGGUACAGCAAUCUUAAUAAAAUACAGUUUCUCAUUUCUAUUUGAUCG